AAGUCGUAACAAGGUCUCCGUUGGUGAACCAGCGGAGGGAUCAUUACCAAGAGUGCCAUAGGCUCUCCAACCCAUUGUGAACCUACCAAACGUUCCCUCGGCGGGCUCAGCGCGCGGCGGCCUCCGGGCCUCCGGGCGUCCGCCGGGGAAAACCAAACCCUGAUUUAAUCGUGUUUCUCUGAGGGGCGGAAGCCCGAAAGUAAAAUGAAUCAAAACUUUCAACAACGGAUCUCUUGGCUCUG
RNAcentral lists this unclassified non-coding RNA (242 nucleotides) under Sarocladium bactrocephalum. RNAcentral's name for it is "partial internal transcribed spacer region". The stretch from base 1 to 46 matches the Rfam family "Eukaryotic small subunit ribosomal RNA", at positions 1786 to 1831 of the family's 1831-position model. The record is from RNAcentral. Lineage: Eukaryota; Fungi; Ascomycota; Sordariomycetes; Hypocreales; Sarocladiaceae.